Molecule: ribosomal RNA, 274 nt
Filed under: uncultured bacterium
Lineage: Bacteria
Description: partial 16S ribosomal RNA
Rfam family: Bacterial small subunit ribosomal RNA
Source: RNAcentral
AUACAGAGAUGGCAACCGUUGUUCGGAAUUACUGGGCUUAAAGCGCACGCAGGCGGAGAAAUAAGUUGGGUGUGAAAUAUCAUGGCUUACCCAUGGUGCUGCAUUCAAAACUGUUUUCCUUGAGUCUGGAAGGGGAGAGUGGAAUUCCUAGUGGAGCGGUGAAAUGUGUUGAUAUUAGGAGGAACACCGGUGGCGAAAGCGACUCUCUGGUCCAGUACUGACGCUGAGGUGCGAAAGCUAGGGGAGCAAACGGGAUUAGAAACCCCAGUAGUCC